UUGAGUCCCUGGCAAAUCUGAACUGAUUUCGACCAAAAAACACAGUUAUUGUGGGAGUUGGAAAGGGAAGUGGCGCUGUGCGCUUGCAAAGACUCUUUUAGAGAAAACCGGGCUAUAUAUACAUAUGGGAGUUAUAUCUUAAUCUGAACUGAUUUUUAUCAAACUUACCAGUCUUGUUGAAAGUCAUAAGAGAAUGAAUUAACAAUUGACGAAGCUUCAUCUGUAGGCCAAAAAAGAUGCCUGGUCCAAAUUUUAAGACUAUCGAAUGAAAAUUGCAACCUGUACUUUGUUCACAAAUUAACGUGGGCAGACAGACAGAAGGACUCGGCUCAAUCGAAUCGUAUAUUAAACUUAAAUGAAAUCUUAAAGGCGUUCGGAAGAUAGUUUUUUGAAUCUUGGCAAAAUGAGUUUUUUUCCUCUGCUAGAUCUGACGAACUGCACACGAUUAUAGAGAUACAAAGGUUCAUUUGUGUAUAUUAUAUUAUGUAUCCGAAUUAAACAUCAGAUCUUCAGACAUAGCGUGCGAUGGCGUUAAAUGCAACAUAUUUCUUGAUUAUUCUUAAAGACAAGUGUCGUAUGCACCAUUCCUCAAAAUUUCAAGUGGAUACAAUUGUAAAUAACGGAAGUUACGUUUUUUCCUUCUGCUGUAAAGUAACAUAAACGAGUCAGGCUCAUUUUAUAUUAAGUCAUCGAUGUACUCUAUAUACCCAUUG
Long non-coding RNA from Stomoxys calcitrans (stable fly), 713 nucleotides. RefSeq lists it as uncharacterized. NCBI's taxonomy places the organism in Eukaryota, Metazoa, Arthropoda, Insecta, Diptera, Muscidae. The record is from RefSeq and is a predicted model, not a curated record. The transcript has 4 exons.